AGAGUUUGAUCCUGGCUCAGGGUUAACGCUGGCGGCGCGCAUAACACAUGCAAGUCGAGCGAGGGCUUAUUUCUCGCAAGAGAGAUGAGUUCCUAGCGGCGAACGGGUGAGUAACACGUGGGCAACCUUUCCUAUCGCGGGGGAUAACAGCGGGAAACCGCUGCUAAUACCGCAUGUCGUCACUGGUCGCAAGGCUGGUGAAGAAAGCAGCAAUGCACGAUGGGGUGGGCCCGCGGCCUAUCAGCUAGUCGGUGGGGUAACGGCCUACCGAGGCGAUGACGGGUAGCUGGUCUGAGAGGACGGCCAGCCACACGGGGACUGAGACACGGCCCCGACUCCUACGGGAGGCAGCAGUGAGGAAUCUUCCGCAAUGGGCGAAAGCCUGACGGAGCGACGCCGCGUGUGCGAUGAAGUCCUUCGGGAUGUAAAGCACUGUCGGAGGGGUAGACAAAAAAGACGGUACCCUCCAAGAAAGCCCCGGCUAACUACGUGCCAGCAGCCGCGGUAAUACGUAGGGGGCAAGCGUUAUCCAGAUUUACUGGGCGUAAAGCGCGUGUAGGCGGCUGGUUAGGUGUGGUGUGAAAUCUUCGGGCUCAACCCGAAAAAUGCAUUGCAAACCGGCCUGGCUAGAGUGCAGGAGAGGGAAGCGGAAUUCCAGGUGUAGCGGUGAAAUGCGUAGAUAUCUGGAGGAACACCAGUGGCGAAGGCGGCUUCCUGGCCUGCAACUGACGCUGAGACGCGAAAGCGUGGGGAGCGAACCGGAUUAGAUACCCGGGUAGUCCACGCCCUAAACGUUGUGAACUAGGUGUUGGUCGGAUUGACCCGAUCAGUGCCGCAGCUAACGCAUUAAGUUCACCGCCUGGGGACUACGGCCGCAAGGUUAAAACUCAAAGGAAUAGGCGGGGGCCCGCACAAGCAGCGGAGCGUGUGGUUUAAUUCGAGGCAACGCGAAGAACCUUACCUGGGCUUGACAUGCAGAGGAAAUUUUCGUGAAAGCGAG
This 1000-nucleotide ribosomal RNA is filed under the name uncultured bacterium. RNAcentral describes it as "bacterial SSU rRNA". It matches the Rfam family "Bacterial small subunit ribosomal RNA", at positions 8 to 1011 of the family's 1533-position model. The record is from RNAcentral.